AUUGAACGCUGGCGGCAGGCUUAACACAUGCAAGUCGAGCGGGGUGAUGGUGCUUGCACUAUCACUUAGCGGCGGACGGGUGAGUAAUGCUUAGGAAUCUGCCUAUUAGUGGGGGACAACAUCUCGAAAGGGAUGCUAAUACCGCAUACGUCCUACGGGAGAAAGCAGGGGAUCACUUGUGACCUUGCGCUAAUAGAUGAGCCUAAGUCGGAUUAGCUAGUUGGUGGGGUAAUGGCCUACCAAGGCGACGAUGUGUAGCGGGUCUGAGAGGAUGACCCGCCCAACUGGGACGGGGACCCGGCCCAGACUCCUGCGGGAGGAAGCAGGGGGGAAUAUUGGAAAAUGGGGGGAACCCUGAUCCAGCCAUGCCGCGUGUGUGAAGAAGGCCUUAUGGUUGUAAAGCACUUUAAGCGAGGAGGAGGCUCUUUUGGUUAAUACCCAAGAUGAGUGGACGUUACUCGCAGAAUAAGCACCGGCUAACUCUGUGCCAGCCGCCGCGGUAA
This 503-nucleotide ribosomal RNA is filed under the name uncultured bacterium. RNAcentral's name for it is "partial 16S ribosomal RNA". It matches the Rfam family "Bacterial small subunit ribosomal RNA", at positions 30 to 523 of the family's 1533-position model. The record is from RNAcentral.